GACGAACGCUGGCGGCGUGCUUAACACAUGCAAGUCGAACGGAAAGGCCCUGCUUUUGUGGGGUGCUCGAGUGGCGAACGGGUGAGUAACACGUGAGUAACCUGCCCUUGACUUUGGGAUAACUUCAGGAAACUGGGGCUAAUACCGGAUAGGAUCUCCUGCUGCAUGGUGUGGGUUGGAGAGUUUCGGCGGUUGGGGAUGGACUCGCGGCUUAUCAGCUUGUUGGUGGGGUAGUGGCUUACCAAGGCUUUGACGGGUAGCCGGCCUGAGAGGGUGACCGGCCACAUUGGGACUGAGAUACGGACCAGAAUCCUACGGGCGGCAGCAGUGGGGAAUAUUGCACAAUGGGCGGAAGCCUGAUGCAGAAACGCCGCGUGCGGGAUGACGGCCUUCGGGUUGUAAACCGAUUUCGCCUGUGACGAAGAGUGAGUGACGGUAAUGUGUAAAGAAGCACCGGCUAACUACGUG
This 468-nucleotide ribosomal RNA is filed under the name uncultured bacterium. RNAcentral describes it as "partial 16S ribosomal RNA". It matches the Rfam family "Bacterial small subunit ribosomal RNA", at positions 28 to 507 of the family's 1533-position model. The record is from RNAcentral.